AGGGAAUCUUCGGCAAUGGACGAAAGUCUGACCGAGCAACGCCGCGUGAGUGAAGAAGGUUUUCGGAUCGUAAAACUCUGUUGUUAGAGAAGAACAAGGAUGAGAAGAGAAUGUUCAUCCCUUGACGGUAUCUAACCAGAAAGCCACGGCUAACUACGUGCCAGCAGCCGCGGUAAUACGUAGGUGGCAAGCGUUGUCCGGAUUUAUUGGGCGUAAAGCGAGCGCAGGCGGGUCUUUAAGUCUGAUGUGAAAGCCCCCGGCUUAACCGGGGAGGGUCAUUGGAAGCUGGGGAACUUGAGUGCAGAAGAGGAGAGUGGAAUUCCAUGUGUAGCGGUGAAAUGCGUAGAUAUAUGGAGGAACACCAGUGGCGAAGGCGGCUCUCUGGUCUGUAACUGACGCUGAGGCUCGAAAGCGUGGGGAGCAAAC
RNAcentral lists this ribosomal RNA (426 nucleotides) under uncultured bacterium. RNAcentral describes it as "bacterial SSU rRNA". It matches the Rfam family "Bacterial small subunit ribosomal RNA", at positions 356 to 773 of the family's 1533-position model. The record is from RNAcentral.